This 481-nucleotide ribosomal RNA is filed under the name uncultured bacterium. Its description in RNAcentral is "partial 16S ribosomal RNA". It matches the Rfam family "Bacterial small subunit ribosomal RNA", at positions 28 to 507 of the family's 1533-position model. The record is from RNAcentral.
GAUGAACGCUGGCGGCGUGCUUAACACAUGCAAGUCGAACGAAGCACUUUAUUUGAUUUCCUUCGGGACUGAUUAUUUUGUGACUGAGUGGCGGACGGGUGAGUAACGCGUGGGUAACCUGCCUUGUACAGGGGGAUAACAGUUGGAAACGGCUGCUAAUCCCGCAUAAGCGCACAGCAUCUCUUGAUGCAGUGUGAAAAACUCCGGUGGUAUAAGAUGGACCCGCGUUGGAUUAGCUAGUUGGUGUGGUAACGGCCCACCAAGGCGACGAUCCAUAGCCGACCUGAGAGGGUGACCGGCCACAUUGGGACUGAGACACGGCCCAAACUCCUACGGGAGGCAGCAGUGGGGAAUAUUGCACAAUGGGCGAAAGCCUGAUGCAGCGACGCCGCGUGAGCGAAGAAGUAUUUCGGUAUGUAAAGCUCUAUCAGCAGGGAAGAUAAUGACGGUACCUGACUAAGAAGCACCGGCUAAAUACGUG